Molecule: long non-coding RNA, 946 nt
Organism: Gallus gallus (chicken)
Lineage: Eukaryota; Metazoa; Chordata; Aves; Galliformes; Phasianidae
Source: Ensembl
UUCUCUUUGGAGAUCCCUGUAUACCAAAGGUCUUCUGAAGGGAUUUCUCUGCAAAGAAACUUUGUUCCAUAGUGGAUCCAUGUUUUUUAGAAGACUGGCGAUACCCUUCAAUUUUAUAAUAGAAGAAGAACUGUGUAUCCCAGAGGACCUCAUGGUCAGGGAAGGAAGAUACAUCAUGGAAGAUACGUCGUCUGGUUGUGCACGGGCUUUCGCUUGCUGCCAGGGAGAGGAGUGGGUGUGCUUUCAAGCCGUGCGCCUUCAUCAAGAAGCCAGAGGACCCACGAGCCUACUGCCCCCCUGUCAUGGGCACAGAUUUAUCUAGAUAACUCCAUGACAACUUGAGAAUCUAUCAGUUUGAUUUUAAUCUAUCUGAACAGGGGGAAACAAAGUUGGCCAAAAAAAUUCUAUUUAAUUUGAACAAAAUCUCACUGAAGAUUAAAAUAUGCUGCUUCUACUUCUGACAGAAGUUCCAUCUCCUCUUCUUUGGAUGAAAAAAACACAGUUAAUUUCCUCAUAGAUCAUUGAUUUUAGAUCCUACAGCAAGUAAGCCACACUGAAUGAUUAGCAGUGCCCUAGCUCUGUGUCUUUUUUUUUGUGUGUACUCAAUCUAGAAAAUCAAUAACAUGCUGACAGGUAGAGUCAUAUUUGAAUGCAGACAUGUAUUUCAACUGAAAUCCAGUUUUUAUUCUGCAGAGUCAUAGACUUGCUGCUUGGUUGUUUGUUUGGAUAUUGUGAUGUACUAUUAGUGGAUUUUACUGUUAAUCCUUAGAUUAAUUGAUUACAUUGUGAUAGUGAUAUUGUUAUGAAACUGAGACAAAACAAUUGCUUUUAAUAUUGAUGUCAUAUGUCAACAAUUUAUUACAUUCUUCUCCUUAGACAACUAGUUGGGUGUGAGGACAGAUCACUGGCUUAAAUGGCAUUGAAUGUUUAAUUAAAAUACAUGUAU